Molecule: ribosomal RNA, 324 nt
Filed under: uncultured Roseobacter sp.
Lineage: Bacteria; Pseudomonadati; Pseudomonadota; Alphaproteobacteria; Rhodobacterales; Roseobacteraceae
Description: bacterial SSU rRNA
Rfam family: Bacterial small subunit ribosomal RNA
Source: RNAcentral
UGCCAGCAGCCGCGGUAAUACGGAGGGGGUUAGCGUUGUUCGGAAUUACUGGGCGUAAAGCGCACGUAGGCGGAUUGGAAAGUUGGGGGUGAAAUCCCGGGGCUCAACCCCGGAACUGCCUCCAAAACUAUCAGUCUAGAGUUCGAGAGAGGUGAGUGGAAUUCCAAGUGUAGAGGUGAAAUUCGUAGAUAUUUGGAGGAACACCAGUGGCGAAGGCGGCUCACUGGCUCGAUACUGACGCUGAGGUGCGAAAGUGUGGGGAGCAAACAGGAUUAGAUACCCUGGUAGUCCACACCGUAAACGAUGAAUGCCAGUCGUCGGGCA